Molecule: long non-coding RNA, 361 nt
Organism: Nothoprocta perdicaria
Lineage: Eukaryota; Metazoa; Chordata; Aves; Tinamiformes; Tinamidae
Exons: 3
Source: RefSeq, a predicted model, not a curated record
CAGAGCUUUCCUGGCUGCAGUUCUCUCUCCAGCGUCAAGUUAGACUCAGGGGCUGCUAGAAGCUGGGGGAGAGCAGCUGCUCCUGCGGCACUGGAGGACUGCGGUGGCCUGUGCUUCUUUGCACAAGCACCACAUGCACGUGGGACAGAGGUCCUGCCGAGGUUGGGAGCAGAUUGCUGCGAAGCCUGUAUCACGGCUGCUGGAACUGAACCGCUUUCACGGGUAAAUAUCAAGUUCAAAUCGCCAGAGCUAUCACUUCAACAUCAUUCAGCAGCAUGAAAGCAGCUCUGAAGAAAGCCGAUACCCAUUAACUUUGCUGGGAAAGGCCAAGUCAGGAAAAAGGGAAAGGUUGAUUACAGGA